GUGGUUGGGUAACCGCUACAGCUUUUAGUUGUAGAGGAAAGUCCAUGCUCGCACAGGCUGAGAUGCCUGUAGUGUUCGUGCCUAGCGAAAAAAUAAGCUAGGGUAGCUUGGUUUUUAUGACGAGGCUAACGGCAGGGAACACACCUAAGUCCUUGUGAUAUGGUGUUACUACCUUGAAAGUGCCACAGUGACGUAGUCUUACAAGAAAUUGUAAGAGUGGAACGAGGUAAACCCCUCGAGCGAGAAACCCAAAUAAUGGUAGGGGCACCUUCUCUAAGGAAUCCAACAAUGAGAGGGACAGAUACUUUUAAGUUUCUGUAGACAGAUGGUUACCACCUGCGUACAAGGAGCGAUCCGUUUGCAGUACAAAGGAACAGAACAUGGCUUACAGAU
Molecule: RNase P RNA, 393 nt
Filed under: Bacillus sp. THAF10
Lineage: Bacteria; Bacillati; Bacillota; Bacilli; Caryophanales; Bacillaceae
Description: Bacterial RNase P class B
Rfam family: Bacterial RNase P class B
About the family: Ribonuclease P (RNase P) is a ubiquitous endoribonuclease, found in archaea, bacteria and eukarya as well as chloroplasts and mitochondria. Its best characterised activity is the generation of mature 5'-ends of tRNAs by cleaving the 5'-leader elements of precursor-tRNAs. Cellular RNase Ps are ribonucleoproteins.
Source: Rfam by way of RNAcentral